Non-coding RNA from Vicia faba (fava bean), 213 nucleotides. Lineage: Eukaryota; Viridiplantae; Streptophyta; Magnoliopsida; Fabales; Fabaceae. The record is from the annotation of a GenBank genome assembly.
AUGAGAUCGGCUCCGCUAGGCCAUGUCCUCGAUACAGACUCACACCGACGAACGCAACCACCACCCAAGCACGACGCCAGUCUCACUCCGCCGCUGUUAGCGCCACCGUCAAACCUUUCUUCUAACACGAAUCAGUUUUCUCUGACACCGGCGUCCUCACCAGGUAUUAUCCGCUCAAGAUUUAUUGAUUGUGGUAGUUUCACUUUUCAUUGA